This 1221-nucleotide ribosomal RNA is filed under the name bioreactor metagenome. RNAcentral's name for it is "bacterial LSU rRNA". It matches the Rfam family "Bacterial large subunit ribosomal RNA", at positions 1697 to 2925 of the family's 2925-position model. The record is from RNAcentral.
AAACCUCGUUAAGGAACUCGGCAAUCUAGCCCCGUAACUUCGGAAGAAGGGGUCCCCGGCGCGAGCCGGGGCGCAGUGAACGGGCCCAUGCGACUGUUUAACAAAAACACAGCACUCUGCCAACCCGCAAGGGGACGUAUAGAGUGUGACACGUGACCAAUGCGGAAAGGUCAAGGCGAGGGGUCAGCCGCGAGGCGAAGCUCCGAACCGAAGCCCCCGUGAAUGUCGGCCGUAACUAUAACGGUCCUAAGGUAGCGAAAUUCCUUGUCGGGUAAGUUCCGACCUGCACGAAUCGUGUAACGAUAUGGGCGCUGUCUCAACGAGGAUCUCGGUGAAGUUGUAAUGCCGGUGAAAAUGCCGGAUACCCGCAGAAGGACGGAAAGACCCUGUGAACCUUUACUGUAAUCUGGUACUGUAUUCUGGCCGCCUAUGCGUAGCAUAGCCGGGAGCCUUGGAAGCCCCUCCUUCGGGGGGGGCGGAGGCGCCAGUGAAAUACCGGUCUUAGACGGACGGAAUUCUAACCGCGAGCCGUUUUCCGGCCGCGGGACAAUGCCAGAGGGUCAGUUUGACUGGGGCGGUUUCCUCCCAAACAGUAACGGAGGAGUUCGAAGGUACACUCAGCACGGUCGGCAAUCGUGCGUCGAGCGCAAGGGUAGAAGUGUGCUUAACUGCGAGAGGGACACCUCGAGCAGAUGCGAAAGCAGGACCUAGUGAUCCGGCGGUAACUCGUGGUAGUGCCGUCGCUCAACGGAUAAAAGGUACUCCGGGGAUAACAGGCUGAUCGCAGCCGAGAGUUCAUAUCGACGCUGCGGUUUGGCACCUCGAUGUCGGCUCAUCGCAUCCUGGGGCUGGAGAAGGUCCCAAGGGUUUGGCUGUUCGCCAAUUAAAGCGGUACGCGAGCUGGGUUCAGAACGUCGUGAGACAGUUCGGUCCAUAUCCUCUGCGGGCGCAGGAGAAUUGACGGGAACAUUCCCUAGUACGAGAGGACCGGGAAUGACCGGCCUAUGGUGUUCCGGUUGUCGCGCCAGCGGCACCGCCGGGUAGCCACGCCGGGAACGGAUAAGCGCUGAAAGCAUCUAAGCGCCAAGCCUCCCCGAAGACAAGUUCUCCCGCCCGAAAGGGCCUGAAGGCAGGUGGCAGACCACCACCUCGAUAGGACGGGCGUGCAAGUCCAGCAAUGGGCUCAGCGGACCGUUACUAAUCAGCCGUGAGGCUUGGCCG